CUCUUCCAAUCUCCAGCCCCAGCCAGAGCACGAGAGGAAGAGAAAGGCCCUUAGCUGCUGGGGUGCCCCUGCCUACUCAGUCCCCCACCUCACUGAGAAUCUCCCUUCAACACAGUUUCCACCCAGACCCCCUAAAGAACAGGAGGGGCCUAGGGAGCCCCACCUUGUCAUGUAACAUCAAUAAAGUUCCCUGAAU
Long non-coding RNA from Otolemur garnettii (small-eared galago), 196 nucleotides. RefSeq lists it as uncharacterized. The record is from RefSeq and is a predicted model, not a curated record. NCBI's taxonomy places the organism in Eukaryota, Metazoa, Chordata, Mammalia, Primates, Galagidae. The transcript is spliced from 3 exons.